UACGUGCGGUCGCAUGCUUUUUCUUUCACCGGAGUCUUGCUCCACCGAAGGAAAAAGAGUGGGGAACGGGUGAGUAACACGUGGAUAACCUACCCUCAAGCGGGGGAUAACACUUGGAAACAGGUGCUAAUACCGCAUAACAAAGAAAACCGCAUGGUUUUCUUUUGAAAGGCGCUUUUGCGUCACUUGAGGAUGGAUCCGCGGUGCAUUAGCUAGUUGGUGAGGUAACGGCUCACCAAGGCAACGAUGCAUAGCCGACCUGAGAGGGUGAUCGGCCACAUUGGGACUGAGACACGGCCCAAACUCCUACGGGAGGCAGCAGUAGGGAAUCUUCGGCAAUGGACGAAAGUCUGACCGAGCAACGCCGCGUGAGUGAAGAAGGUUUUCGGAUCGUAAAACUCUGUUGUUAGAGAAGAACAAGGAUGAGAGUAAAAAGUUCAUCCCUUGACGGUAUCUAACCAGAAAGCCACGGCUAACUACGUGCCAGCAGCCGCGGUAAUACGUAGGUGGCAAGCGUUGUCCGGAUUUAUUGGGCGUAAAGCGAGCGCAGGCGGUUUCUUAAGUCUGAUGUGAAAGCCCCCGGCUCAACCGGGGAGGGUCAUUGGAAACUGGGAAACUUGAGUGCAGAAGAGGAGAGUGGAAUUCCAUGUGUAGCGGUGAAAUGCGUAGAUAUAUGGAGGAACACCAGUGGCGAAGGCGGCUCUCUGGUCUGUAACUGACGCUGAGGCUCGAAAGCGUGGGGAGCAAACAGGAUUAGAUACCCUGGUAGUCCACGCCGUAAACGAUGAGUGCUAAGUGUUGGAGGGUUUCCGCCCUUCAGUGCUGCAGCUAACGCAUUAAGCACUCCGCCUGGGGAGUACGACCGCAAGGUUGAAACUCAAAGGAAUUGACGGGGGCCCGCACAAGCGGUGGAGCAU
Molecule: ribosomal RNA, 917 nt
Filed under: Enterococcus hermanniensis
Lineage: Bacteria; Bacillati; Bacillota; Bacilli; Lactobacillales; Enterococcaceae
Description: bacterial SSU rRNA
Rfam family: Bacterial small subunit ribosomal RNA
Source: RNAcentral